UGCCCAGCAACUCCUAUCCCUACCUCCUCGUGGUACUGGCCGGGGUACGAGUAACCUUGGGGAAGAUCGGGUUACCAAACCCCGGUGGGAACUCUGGUCGUAUGCUGACAGGGAAGG
This is a non-coding RNA of Aedes aegypti (yellow fever mosquito), 117 nucleotides long. Lineage: Eukaryota; Metazoa; Arthropoda; Insecta; Diptera; Culicidae. The record is from Rfam.